CAGUAGCCGCGGUAAUACAGAGGGUGCAAGCGUUAAUCGGAAUUACUGGGCGUAAAGCGCGCGUAGGUGGUUUGUUAAGUUGGAUGUGAAAUCCCCGGGCUCAACCUGGGAACUGCAUCCAAAACUGGCAAGCUAGAGUAUGGUAGAGGGUGGUGGAAUUUCCUGUGUAGCGGUGAAAUGCGUAGAUAUAGGAAGGAACACCAGUGGCGAAGGCGACCACCUGGACUGAUACUGACACUGAGAGACGAAAGCUAGGGGAGCAAAUGGGAUUAGAUACCCCAGUAGUCCCUGUCUCUUAUAC
Molecule: ribosomal RNA, 301 nt
Filed under: uncultured bacterium
Lineage: Bacteria
Description: partial 16S ribosomal RNA
Rfam family: Bacterial small subunit ribosomal RNA
Source: RNAcentral